Molecule: long non-coding RNA, 405 nt
Organism: Carassius carassius (crucian carp)
Lineage: Eukaryota; Metazoa; Chordata; Actinopteri; Cypriniformes; Cyprinidae
Exons: 2
Source: RefSeq, a predicted model, not a curated record
GAAAGGUUCAGUAGACUUUUUGCUUUAAAUGAAUGGUUGUUGUCAUGGUGUAAAGAACAGAAACUGCCAUUUGUUAAUAACUGGAAUCUUUUCUGGGAGCGUCCUAGGCUGUUUCGCACUGAUGGAUUACACCCCAGCAGAAUCGGAGCGGAGCUGCUCUCUGACAACAUCUCCAGGACACUUCGCUCCUUGUGACUAGAUUUACACAAGCUCCAGUCUGGAUCCAGAACACCUGAGAAGAGAUGAUGCUGACCCUCAGAGGACCCCAGAUGAUGCUAACCUUGAAUCAACAAACAGAACUAACAAUUAUUGCUACAUGUGUGACUGCAUCAUAUAAUAACUAUUAAUUAAUAAUAUUGAUAGUUCAUCGUCUAGCUGACUACGUCUUGUAUUAUUAUUAUUAUU